Molecule: ribosomal RNA, 351 nt
Filed under: Triticum aestivum (bread wheat)
Lineage: Eukaryota; Viridiplantae; Streptophyta; Magnoliopsida; Poales; Poaceae
Description: partial small subunit ribosomal RNA
Source: RNAcentral
AUGGACGUCAAGCCCGGCGACGUGCCGCGCGUGCUCGAGCGCUACCCGGAGCUCCUCGGCUUCAAGCUCGAGGGCACCAUGAGCACCUCCGUCGCCUACCUCGUCGGCAUCGGCGUCGCCAGGCGGCAGAUCGGCGGCGUCAUCUGGGUAGCGAUUUCUGGUCGUGAAGGGGGUCGACGCCGGCCGUUGGAGCCGAACCAACAGCGAAGCGGGCGCACGACCGCACGAGGGCACCGCCGUAGCAUCCGAUUCUUCCCACAUGAUCCAACCCCGCCUGCCGGCUCGGCUCGUGGGAUGGGAGCAUCAUCCCGCGCCCGCCCGCCCGCACCGCCGCACGAGCCGGGCACGUAA